AUCCAGCUGAUGAGUCCCAAAUAAAAUGAAACGCGCGUCCUGGAU
This is a non-coding RNA of Schistosoma haematobium, 45 nucleotides long. The record is from Rfam. Lineage: Eukaryota; Metazoa; Platyhelminthes; Trematoda; Strigeidida; Schistosomatidae.